CUUCCAGUGGCAGGGGAGCGCGCGCAUGCGCGUUCCUGGGAACGGGCCAGAGUGCCGGAUCAAACGUCAGAUGCGCGGGCCGGGCGUGCGCGGGCUCGGCGGAGGGCGGGAAGGCUGAAGGGCGGCGACAGGUCGCACCGCCUCGCUAGGGUCAGAACUCUCAUUUCUGCAGAGGCAGAGGGUGAAGAGUCACGCCCUCUCUCACCAGAUUUUGGGCUUUCCUGUGGAGACAUCCUGGGCCCUUUCAGGGACAAUGUAUUGAGUCAGGACCUCAAAAUCUGUGUUGAUCCAUGUUUCCUUAGGGAUGCUGGUAUCCAACUGAGAAGUUUAUGGAGCACGUAUCAUGUGCCAGGCACUGUGCUAAGUGCUAGCGAGAAAUUGGUGAGUAAAACAGAAAAGAGAAAAGACAAGAUUACCAUCAUUGAACUUGGAACCUAGCGAAAUAGAUGGACAUAAAUUAUCCUGGUAAGAAAAUGAAGAGUUGCAGUUGCGAUAAGGGCUACGAAGAAUAGGUGCAUCCAUGAUGACAUAACAUGACCCAGUCUGGGGUGGAGAAUCAGAAAUGAUUCCAGCUGGAAUAUGGCAGGUGAGAGUUAACUGUAGCACUGAGUUGGCAAAGGCAGGAUGACUGAGUUGGCAAAGGCAGGUGCCCCAGAAUGAGAAGCUGUUGGUGCUGGUGGAAUGCCAACUUUAAAGCAAUGGAUUUAGGGCCACAUUCCUCAAGGCCAUAGUAAACAGGAAAGACCUUUUUGGACUACUGUCUUUGGAGUAGUCACUUGAGACCAAGACUUCAAUAGGGCUGAAAGAGAAUCUCAUCAUAGAUUGAAUGGGAGCAGAGCAUUAACUGUACCUCCAAUGUAUUAUAGUAAAACGGGACACAUUGAUUAGAAUAAUUAUACCUCUCCACGUGUAAGGUGUUGUUCAAUUAACCCAGGCCUUAAAAAUAGAUCAACUCUUCACAACUAUCUUUAUUGCAAGCCACACUCAUCCUGAACCUGUGAUGCACUUUCAUCCUUUCAUGUCUCUACACAUCCUUCCUGAGCCCCAUAGAGGCCCUGCCCCUUAAGGUCUUCAGCUGGAUUCCUAUUAGCUAGUUAUUUUAUUUCAGGUACAGAGAGUUAACUUUGCUCCUCCGUUUUCAGCACAUUGUCGUAUCAGUCCCUUCAAGGUCCUUGUUUUAUAUUAUUUUAUAUUGUUUAUAUGAUUUUUUCCUCAUCUUUCUCAAUUCCCACUCUCAUUCUUCCAGACACUAACUGCAAUAUGUUUGAUAUAGAUCCUUGAUAAUUUAAGACAGAGAAUGUUUUGUUUAUACCUCUUGCAUUUACAGAGGUGGUGUUGGACUGUAAAUCUCUAUUUCCCACUGUUUUACUUAACACUAUGUUUUUGAGCUAUACCCACAUUGCUGUGUGUACACCUAGUUUGCUACUGAAUAUGCUAUAGAUUUUAUUCAUACAUAUCCUUACUGAUGGGGCAUCUAGCUUGCUGCCAACUCCCUGAAGUCAUACUGUGGUGAAAACCCUUGGGAAUUUCUUUACAAACCUUUACCAGAACUUAUCUUGUGCUCUUGUAGAGCUUUGUGCAAACCUCCUGCCUCCUCAUUACACUGCUUGGCAUGUAGCAGGGACUCAACAAAUGUUGAAUACCUCUACUAUUGAUGGUUAGUAUACUAGAAUAAUUUAUUUAUAUUUUUGUUUUCCUUAUUGGAUUAUUAGUAUCUCCCAGCCAGGGCAAAUAUCUUUUCUAUCCUUGUGUCCCUGGCACAUUAAAAGUGGUUGAUUUCAAGGUAUGUUCGAUGAAUGAAUAAAUAAAUAGUUUUCCUCAUUGCUAGUA
This is a non-coding RNA of Saimiri boliviensis boliviensis (Bolivian squirrel monkey), 1830 nucleotides long. The record is from RefSeq and is a predicted model, not a curated record. NCBI's taxonomy places the organism in Eukaryota, Metazoa, Chordata, Mammalia, Primates, Cebidae.